GAGUCGAGAGUCUUCGGGACUCGGCAGACGGCUCGGUAACACGCGGAUAAUCUGCCCUUGGGUGGGGAAUAAUCUCGGGAAACUGAGCAUAAUACCCCAUAGGCNUGAGAUGCUGGAACGCCCUCAGGCUAAAAGCUCCGGCGCCCAAGGAUGAGUCUGCGGCCUAUCAGCUUGUAGUUGGUGUAAAUGACCAACUAGGCGACGACGGGUACGGGCAUUGGGAGAUGUAGCCCGGAGAUGGACUCUGAGACACGAGUCCAGGCCCUACGGGGCGCAGCAGUCGCGAAAACUUCACAAUAUGGGAAACCGCGAUGAGGGGAUUCCAAGUGCUUGCGUUUUGCGUAAGCUGUUCUCCUGCCUAAAAAGCAGGGGGAGUAAGGGCUGGGUAAGACGGGUGCCAGCCGCCGCGGUAAUACCCGCAGCCCAAGUGGUGGUCGAUAUUAUUGAGCUUAAAGCGUCCGUAGCCUGUCUGGUAAAUUCUUGGGUAAAUCGUGCAGCUUAACUGUCCGAAUUCCGGGGAGACUGCCAGACUUGGGACCGGGAGAGGUUGGAGGUACUCCUGGGGUAGGGGUAAAAUCCCGUAAUCCUGGGAGGACCAUCAGUGGCGAAGGCGUCCAACUGGAACGGAUCCGACGGUCAGGGACGAAGCCCUGGGUCGCGAACUGGAUUAGAUACCCAGGUAGUCCAGGGUGUAAACGCUGCAGACUUGGUGUCGGAGGUCCUACGAGGGCGUCCGGUGCCGGAGAGAAAUUGUUAAGUCUGCCGCUUGGGGAGUACGUCCGCAAGGAUGAAACUUAA
Molecule: ribosomal RNA, 798 nt
Filed under: uncultured archaeon
Lineage: Archaea
Description: bacterial SSU rRNA
Rfam family: Archaeal small subunit ribosomal RNA
Source: RNAcentral